UGCCUACGGGCGGCUGCAGUGGGGAAUAUUGGACAAUGGGCGAAAGCCUGAUCCAGCAAUGCCGCGUGAAUGAUGAAGGCCUUAGGGUUGUAAAGUUCUUUCGGGUGGGACGAUGAUGACGGUACCACCAGAAGAAGCCCCGGCUAACUUCGUGCCAGCAGCCGCGGUAAUACGAAGGGGGCUAGCGUUGUUCGGAAUUACUGGGCGUAAAGCGCACGCAGGCGGCUCGUUAAAGUAGAAGUGAAAGCCCUGGGCUCAACCCGGGAAGUGCUUUUGAGACUGGCGAGCUUGAAUCCAGAAGAGGGUAGUGGAAUUCCAAGUGUAGAGGUGAAAUUCGUAGAUAUUUGGAAGAACACCAGUGGCGAAGGCGACUACCUGGUCUGGCAUUGACGCUCAUGUGCGAAAGCGUGGGGAGCAAACAGGAUUAGAUACCCGAGUAGUCG
This 443-nucleotide ribosomal RNA is filed under the name uncultured Telmatospirillum sp. RNAcentral's name for it is "bacterial SSU rRNA". It matches the Rfam family "Bacterial small subunit ribosomal RNA", at positions 335 to 796 of the family's 1533-position model. The record is from RNAcentral. Lineage: Bacteria; Pseudomonadati; Pseudomonadota; Alphaproteobacteria; Rhodospirillales; Rhodospirillaceae.